This 285-nucleotide long non-coding RNA is filed under the name Phoenix dactylifera (date palm). RNAcentral describes it as "long non-coding RNA (PDAC_LNC006645)". Lineage: Eukaryota; Viridiplantae; Streptophyta; Magnoliopsida; Arecales; Arecaceae. The record is from RNAcentral.
CUGAUUUGGACCUAGCAACCAUGACUUUAACAUGUGAAUUCGGCCAUGGAUACUUCUAAUGAGAACCAGCAUCAAUUUUGACUUUGGUGUCAAGAUUAUUUGAUUCAUCUUUUAUAUAGGUUGACACCGACAUGUGCUUUGUUUUUCUUAUUGGCUAUUAAAUCCAGCUCCCAUCCUCUCCUCUAUGUUUGGGACCAGCAAUGGUAUUGUUCAGAAAACUAAAUUAUGCCUACAAUCAUAUAUUGUUGGUUGACCACCAAGUGCAAUUAUAAGCUUUUGUUCAAU